GGCGAGAGACCGAUAGCGAACAAGUACCGUGAGGGAAAGAUGAAAAGAACUUUGAAAAGAGAGUUAAACAGUACGUGAAAUUGUUGAAAGGGAAACGAUUGAAGUCAGUCAUACUAACGGGAAAUCAACCUCUUGAGUUUGGUCUCGUGGGUUUCGAAGAGUUUUAAAAGCCUUCGGAUUUUCGAGAUUGGGCUCUUCUGGUGUACUUUCUCGUACGGUUAGUCAACAUCGGUUUUGAAUGUCNUAAAAUGA
This 252-nucleotide ribosomal RNA is filed under the name Glomus sp. Cm. RNAcentral's name for it is "partial large subunit ribosomal RNA". It matches the Rfam family "Eukaryotic large subunit ribosomal RNA", at positions 325 to 580 of the family's 3401-position model. Lineage: Eukaryota; Fungi; Glomeromycota; Glomeromycetes; Glomerales; Glomeraceae. The record is from RNAcentral.